RNAcentral lists this ribosomal RNA (495 nucleotides) under uncultured bacterium. Its description in RNAcentral is "partial 16S ribosomal RNA". It matches the Rfam family "Bacterial small subunit ribosomal RNA", at positions 28 to 507 of the family's 1533-position model. The record is from RNAcentral.
GACGAACGCUGGCGGCGUGCCUAAUACAUGCGAGUAGAACGCUGAAGGAGGAGCUUGCUUCUCUGGAUGAGUUGCGAACGGGUGAGUAACGCGUAGGUAACCUGCCUGGUAGCGGGGGAUAACUAUUGGAAACGAUAGCUAAUACCGCAUAAUAGCAGUUGUUGCAUGACAACUGUUUGAAAGGUGCAAUUGCACCACUACCAGAUGGACCUGCGUUGUAUUAGCUAGUUGGUGGGGUAACGGCUCACCAAGGCGACGAUACAUAGCCGACCUGAGAGGGUGGUCGGCCACACUGGGACUGAGGCACGGCCCAGACUCCUACGGGAGGCAGCAGUAGGGAAUCUUCGGCAAUGGACGGAAGUCUGACCGAGCAACGCCGCGUGAGUGAAGAAGGGUUUCGGAUCGUAAAGCUCUGUUGUAAGAGAAGAACGAGUGUGAGAGUGGAAAGUUCACACUGUGACGGUAUCUUACCAGAAAGGGACGGCUAACUACGUG